UUAGCUUUGUCUAAUAGUUCCAGAGCAGGUGAGCUCAAAGGAAGAAAGGUUGAAGUCUCAAGUCAAUGUACAGGUACCUCUGGGACGGAAGGUGACUACAAACUAUUCCACAACACUCUGCUUAUGGAGCAAGGAGAAUGGUGACUGAGGACAUUGCAGAAAACUCUGCUUUUAGUAAAACUGAAAGCAAUGAAACAUUGAACCAGACUCAUGAAAGUUGUCAGGAGGAAUAAGCACAGCUCUGGGCAGUGUAUCUGCAUGGAUCAGAGAUGGUCCACGACUGGGGCUCCUCAGCACUAUGGUAAUUCAAAUAAUAUUGAUCCCCACAAAAACAGAUGCUAUUUUCUGUUGCCUUUUCAGUGGUGAAUGUUUUUUAAACUGGAGAAUGUUUUCCAACAGCACACGUUUGAAGACAGAUGAAUGUGGGGCUUACACCACUUUACAGUUUGCUUUGAAACUAGAAACCAUAAAUAUCUAAUGACAGCAUAGGCCCCACCCCUGCUCCUGCACAGGGCGCUGCUGGUGUGGAGCUCAGUUUAAACAAGAGAUUCUCACCAUUUAUGUGAAGUAAGGUUCUAUUCUGAAAAGUGACUGAAUGACCAGUGCUUGUCUACAUGGUGCAUCAGAUGCGGGUGUAAACGCCAAUGUGCACCAGUGUAGACUCUGCUGGUGUGGGUUAAGGUAGUACUGUUUAAUGUAGGACUACA
This is a non-coding RNA of Chrysemys picta bellii (western painted turtle), 707 nucleotides long. The record is from RefSeq and is a predicted model, not a curated record. NCBI's taxonomy places the organism in Eukaryota, Metazoa, Chordata, Testudines, Emydidae.